GUAGGGGGCAAGCGUUAUCCGGAUUUACUGGGUGUAAAGGGAGCGUAGACGGCAUGGCAAGUCUGAAGUGAAAGCCCGGGGCUCAACCGCGGGACUGCUUUGGAAACUGUUAAGCUGGAGUGCAGGAGAGGUAAGUGGAAUUCCUAGUGUAGCGGUGAAAUGCGUAGAUAUUAGGAGGAACACCAGUGGCGAAGGCGGCUUACUGGACUGUAACUGACGUUGAGGCUCGAAAGCGUGGGGAGCAAA
This 246-nucleotide ribosomal RNA is filed under the name uncultured bacterium. Its description in RNAcentral is "partial 16S ribosomal RNA". It matches the Rfam family "Bacterial small subunit ribosomal RNA", at positions 527 to 772 of the family's 1533-position model. The record is from RNAcentral.